This 205-nucleotide long non-coding RNA is filed under the name Elaeis guineensis (African oil palm). RNAcentral's name for it is "long non-coding RNA (EGUI_LNC000708)". Lineage: Eukaryota; Viridiplantae; Streptophyta; Magnoliopsida; Arecales; Arecaceae. The record is from RNAcentral.
CUUUCACUGAAUCUUCCUACAUAUUGAGGGCUUGCAUGGAUAUUCCUACAGGAAUAUCUCGUAGAAAUCAGGCUUCUUGGCUACGGGUCUCCCUAAAGUCCCAGCUAGCCUGUGGGCUAGUUGGCCUGCAAGAAAGUGGUAAAAGAUCCACAAGGAUUUUUUGUUUUUUUUGUCCCUUCCAUAAACCCUAGACUACACAAUACUG